This is a long non-coding RNA of Juglans microcarpa x Juglans regia, 191 nucleotides long. RefSeq lists it as uncharacterized. Lineage: Eukaryota; Viridiplantae; Streptophyta; Magnoliopsida; Fagales; Juglandaceae. The transcript is spliced from 4 exons. The record is from RefSeq and is a predicted model, not a curated record.
UUUUCAAAAGAAAGAUAAUUAAUUUCAAUUAUAUCUUGAUCCUUUUGAAGCGAAAAAGGGACUACACUAGAGCGACGCGAACCUCCUGAUAAUAUCCAUAAAUGACUUGUUUUUGGUAAGAGAUGCACAUUACUGUAUGUAAAUUCCGGUGCAUGGUAUACAUCGGUACUCCAGUGCAUUUCUCCCUUUAA